Molecule: ribosomal RNA, 253 nt
Filed under: uncultured bacterium
Lineage: Bacteria
Description: partial 16S ribosomal RNA
Rfam family: Bacterial small subunit ribosomal RNA
Source: RNAcentral
UACGAAGGGGGCUAGCGUUGCUCGGAAUCACUGGGCGUAAAGCGUGCGCAGGCGGCUUUGCAAGACAGAUGUGAAAUCCCCGGGCUCAACCUGGGAACUGCAUUUGUGACUGCAUGGCUAGAGUACGGUAGAGGGGGAUGGAAUUCCGCGUGUAGCAGUGAAAUGCGUAGAUAUGCGGAGGAACACCGAUGGCGAAGGCAAUCCCCUGGACCUGUACUGACGCUCAUGCACGAAAGCGUGGGGAGCAAACAGG